RNA transcript from Sipha flava (yellow sugarcane aphid), 1016 nucleotides. It is a transcript of the gene named 28S ribosomal protein S11, mitochondrial, with no coding region annotated. The transcript has 7 exons. The record is from RefSeq and is a predicted model, not a curated record. Lineage: Eukaryota; Metazoa; Arthropoda; Insecta; Hemiptera; Aphididae.
UGUAGUGUGCACACUUAUAUAAUCUCUGUUCAGUCAUUAUUUAGGCUCAGUACGUGUUACUUGGGUUUUUUUCUGUCACGACCAUUCCAAACGGCUUGUAUGUUUAAGGUUCUACCGCAUUCGCCAUUUUGAUGAUUGUUCGGUGUCUUAUUGCAUUAACAGCGUGUAGUCAAUACUUUGUACAUGAUAAUUUUUUUUUUAAAUAACCAUUAUUUUCUAACGUUUAAUUUGUCUUGUGUUAUUGUAUUCUCAAAAAACAAUGUUCGGACGUAUCUUGCGUGAUUUUUGUCGACGACCAGCCCUUUUGGACGGGCAAAAUGUCAGCCGUUACUUACAUGUCACAUUGCCAUCGGAGAAAAAUAGAGACCGUCGUAGUUAUCUUGCUUCGGUUCCUUCGAAAGACGAAGGUACCGAAGGCGAGAAAUUCGUUUACAUUGACUCCGCAAUAACGAAGAAAGAAGACAUGUUUCCCGAUGUGAACACGCCGAAUAUGCUUUUUGGAGCAGUAAAAUUUUCAGAAGUACCUAUUUGUCACAUUAAAUCGUCCAGUAAUAAUACAAUUCUUCAUGUCACUAAAGCUAAUGGAGAAAGAAUAAUGAUCAGAUCCUGUGGUAUGGAAGGUUUCAAAAAUACAAGAAAAGGAACUAAUAUUGCUGCUCAAGCUACAGCAAUAAGUCUUGCUGCAAGAGUGUUAGAAUUAGGAAUUCAUACAGUUCGGGUAAAAAUUCAAGGAUUAGGACCCGGAAGAAUGUCAUCUAUUAAAGGUUUAACAAUGGGCGGACUUAAAAUUAUAUCUGUAACAGACAAUACUCCAGUUUCAUGGAAUCCACUAAGAUCAAGAAAACAGCGAAAGUUGUAAUUAUGUUAAUGCUUCAGAAGAUGACUCUUCAGAUUCUGAUCAAAAUAAUGAGAACUCUGGUUCAUUAUCAUCAUCUAGUUCUGAAAGAGUACUAUAUGCUCAUCACUGAUUGUUCUGAAUCAUUGUAACAAAUUUUCACUAAAUUGGUAAGAGUGUC